UACGUAGGGUGCAAGCGUUAAUCGGAAUUACUGGGCGUAAAGCGUGCGCAGGCGGUUUUGUAAGUCUGUCGUGAAAUCCCCGGGCUCAACCUGGGAAUUGCGAUGGAGACUGCAAGGCUAGAAUCUGGCAGAGGGGGAUGGAAUUCCGCGUGUAGCAGUGAAAUGCGUAGAUAUGCGGAGGAACACCGAUGGCGAAGGCAAUCCCCUGGACCUGUACUGACGCUCAUGCACGAAAAGCGUGGGGAGCAAACAGG
Molecule: ribosomal RNA, 254 nt
Filed under: uncultured bacterium
Lineage: Bacteria
Description: partial 16S ribosomal RNA
Rfam family: Bacterial small subunit ribosomal RNA
Source: RNAcentral